CUUUAGGGGUGGACAGUGGAGGGGCAACAUAGAGUCAUAGAAUCUAGACUUAUUUGGGUUGGAAGGAACUCUAAAGAUUAUCUAAUUUCAACUCCCCUGCCUGAAUACCGUACUCUAGAGCAGGAUGUUUGAAACCCUAUCCCACCUGGCCUUGAACACUUCCAGAGAUAGAAGAGCUUCUUUAGACAGCCUGUGCCUGUGCCAGUUCAAGCAGGAGGGGAGGCAGAAGCUGGGACUGGACAUUCAUGAUAGGCCCCAGUAAAUGCUUUGCUGGUAGGAUGAGGGUGUGCAGGCCUUGUGGCAGGUAGCAGCAUUUGGCUUCCAGCACUGCCUGUUAAAAGCUCACAGGAAUAUACCCCAUGGGGCAUCACAACCUCUUUGAAAAGUUAAAAACUUUUAUUUUUUUUUGCACUUACUGGAGAUUAAUGAAUACACAAACAAUAUUUUUUAACACAAAACUCUCUUUUUGUCAAUUUUGAAACAUUAUGGUAUACUUCCCAACUCUUCAGAAUCUGUGAUUUUAAUAUAUUUUGAUCUCCAAUUGAUCUUUUCCUUACUUCCCUUUGGUAUUUUCUUGUAAACUGAAGUACUCACAUUUUCCCUCAUCUUUUUGUCUUCUCUGUGUAUUGUUCCACUUUUCUAUUUGUUUUCAUGUCUUCUUGUCUCUCCUGUCAAAAUACAUACACAGAACAUUGUGUGAGUACCAUUUACAAGAGAAAAUACAGGCUCUUCCAGAAACAUUAAAGAAGCAAACUUCCAAGAUAAAAGAGAGGCAUAGUGUGAAAUGUCUCCAUAUGUCCAUUCUAGCGGAUAAUGACACCUCAGUGCUGUAUAGUGUAUCUGUGGAAAGGUACCAAAAAGUUUUUAUGGGAUCAACCUGUGCAGCCUGUGCAGUGCAGCUGUGGAUGAGUGUUUUUGACAGUAUAUUGUGGUAA
This 935-nucleotide long non-coding RNA is filed under the name Taeniopygia guttata (zebra finch). Its description in RNAcentral is "lncRNA (ENSTGUG00000025766.1)". The record is from RNAcentral. Lineage: Eukaryota; Metazoa; Chordata; Aves; Passeriformes; Estrildidae.